GAGAUCGAACUCUUCUUCCCCAAGUCCGGCCGCCGGCCAUCGUCGUCAAUUCCCCGCUCCCGGCCCAAAGACCGGAGGAAGCCGACGCCGUCGUACCGCCGUUUUCCGCCGCCACCGGAGCGUUCCUCGGUUCACCGUCGUCGUCCAAGCUUCGUCGGUGAGUCCCGUAGAGGCACAUGCAUGCACACAUUUGGCACAAAUCGAGCCGUAGCUCUAAAUGGCGCAUCACCCCGAAGCACACCGCCGCUCGCGCUGCCGCCGUCGUUGACUCCAGCCACCACAGCCCGCGAUACCACCGCCAUUAGUUUCGCCAUCUUCCACUCUACAUUUUCUCUUUUGGCUGCAUCGUGA
This 351-nucleotide long non-coding RNA is filed under the name Oryza sativa Indica Group (long-grained rice). RNAcentral describes it as "lncRNA OsZS97_03G023140". The record is from RNAcentral. Lineage: Eukaryota; Viridiplantae; Streptophyta; Magnoliopsida; Poales; Poaceae.